This 266-nucleotide ribosomal RNA is filed under the name uncultured Staphylococcus sp. Its description in RNAcentral is "partial 16S ribosomal RNA". It matches the Rfam family "Bacterial small subunit ribosomal RNA", at positions 96 to 355 of the family's 1533-position model. The record is from RNAcentral. Lineage: Bacteria; Bacillati; Bacillota; Bacilli; Caryophanales; Staphylococcaceae.
CGGCGGACGGGUGAGUAACACGUGGAUAACCUACCUAUAAGACUGGGAUAACUUCGGGAAACCGGAGCUAAUACCGUAUAAUAUAUUGAACCGCAUGGUUCAAUAGUGAAAGACGGUUUUGCUGUCACUUAUAGAUGGAUCCGCGCCGCAUUAGCUAGUUGGUAAGGUAACGGCUUACCAAGGCAACGAUGCGUAGCCGACCUGAGAGGGUGAUCGGCCACACUGGAACUGAGACACGGUCCAGACUCCUACGGGAGGCAGCAGCC